RNAcentral lists this ribosomal RNA (879 nucleotides) under Pseudomonas sp. jjf-2-3. Its description in RNAcentral is "bacterial SSU rRNA". It matches the Rfam family "Bacterial small subunit ribosomal RNA", at positions 52 to 927 of the family's 1533-position model. The record is from RNAcentral. Lineage: Bacteria; Pseudomonadati; Pseudomonadota; Gammaproteobacteria; Pseudomonadales; Pseudomonadaceae.
AUCGUGCAGCGCUAGCGGAUGACGGGAGCUUGCUCCUUGAUUCAGCGGCGGACGGGUGAGUAAUGCCUAGGAAUCUGCCGGUAGUGGGGGACAACGUUUCGAAAGGAACGCUAAUACCGCAUACGUCCUACGGGAGAAAGCAGGGGACCUUCGGGCCUUGCGCUAUCAGAUGAGCCUAGGUCGGAUUAGCUAGUUGGUGGGGUAAUGGCUCACCAAGGCGACGAUCCGUAACUGGUCUGAGAGGAUGAUCAGUCACACUGGAACUGAGACACGGUCCAGACUCCUACGGGAGGCAGCAGUGGGGAAUAUUGGACAAUGGGCGAAAGCCUGAUCCAGCCAUGCCGCGUGUGUGAAGAAGGUCUUCGGAUUGUAAAGCACUUUAAGUUGGGAGGAAGGGCAGUAAGUUAAUACCUUGCUGUUUUGACGUUACCGACAGAAUAAGCACCGGCUAACUCUGUGCCAGCAGCCGCGGUAAUACAGAGGGUGCAAGCGUUAAUCGGAAUUACUGGGCGUAAAGCGCGCGUAGGUGGUUUGUUAAGUUGGAUGUGAAAGCCCCGGGCUCAACCUGGGAACUGCAUCCAAAACUGGCAAGCUAGAGUACGGUAGAGGGUGGUGGAAUUUCCUGUGUAGCGGUGAAAUGCGUAGAUAUAGGAAGGAACACCAGUGGCGAAGGCGACCACCUGGACUGAUACUGACACUGAGGUGCGAAAGCGUGGGGAGCAAACAGGAUUAGAUACCCUGGUAGUCCACGCCGUAAACGAUGUCAACUAGCCGUUGGAAUCCUUGAGAUUUUAGUGGCGCAGCUAACCCAUUAAGUUGACCGGCCUGGGGAGUACGGCCGCAUGGUUAAACUCAAAUGAAUUGACGGGGGCCCGCACC